Molecule: ribosomal RNA, 1526 nt
Filed under: Neisseria meningitidis
Lineage: Bacteria; Pseudomonadati; Pseudomonadota; Betaproteobacteria; Neisseriales; Neisseriaceae
Description: partial 23S ribosomal RNA
Rfam family: Bacterial large subunit ribosomal RNA
Source: RNAcentral
AUAGAGUCAAGUGAAUAAGUGCAUCAGGCGGAUGCCUUGGCGAUGAUAGGCGACGAAGGACGUGUAAGCCUGCGAAAAGCGCGGGGGAGCUGGCAAUAAAGCAAUGAUCCCGCGAUGUCCGAAUGGGGAAACCCACUGCAUUCUGUGCAGUAUCCUAAGUUGAAUACAUAGACUUAGAGAAGCGAACCCGGAGAACUGAACCAUCUAAGUACCCGGAGGAAAAGAAAUCAACCGAGAUUCCGCAAGUAGUGGCGAGCGAACGCGGAGGAGCCUGUACGUGAUAACUGUCGAGAUAGAAGAACAAGCUGGGAAGCUUGACCAUAGUGGGUGAUAGUCCCGUAUUCGAAAUCUCAAUAGUGGUACUAAGCGUACGAAAAGUAGGGCGGGACACGUGAAAUCCUGUCUGAAUAUGGGGGGACCAUCCUCCAAGGCUAAAUACUCAUCAUCGACCGAUAGUGAACCAGUACCGUGAGGGAAAGGCGAAAAGAACCCCGGGAGGGGAGUGAAAUAGAACCUGAAACCUGAUGCAUACAAACAGUGGGAGCACCCUUGUGGUGUGACUGCGUACCUUUUGUAUAAUGGGUCAACGACUUACAUUCAGUAGCGAGCUUAACCGAAUAGGGGAGGCGUAGGGAAACCGAGUCUUAAUAGGGCGAACAGUUGCUGGGUGUAGACCCGAAACCGAGUGAUCUAUCCAUGGCCAGGUUGAAGGUGCCGUAACAGGUACUGGAGGACCGAACCCACGCAUGUUGCAAAAUGCGGGGAUGAGCUGUGGAUAGGGGUGAAAGGCUAAACAAACUCGGAGAUAGCUGGUUCUCCCCGAAAACUAUUUAGGUAGUGCCUCGAGCAAGACACUGAUGGGGGUAAAGCACUGUUAUGGCUAGGGGGUUAUUGCAACUUACCAACCCAUGGCAAACUCAGAAUACCAUCAAGUGGUUCCUCGGGAGACAGACAGCGGGUGCUAACGUCCGUUGUCAAGAGGGAAACAACCCAGACCGCCAGCUAAGGUCCCCAAUGAUAGAUUAAGUGGUAAACGAAGUGGGAAGGCCCAGACAGCCAGGAUGUUGGCUUAGAAGCAGCCAUCAUUUAAAGAAAGCGUAAUAGCUCACUGGUCGAGUCGUCCUGCGCGGAAGAUGUAACGGGGCUCAAAUCUAUAACCGAAGCUGCGGAUGCCGGUUUACCGGCAUGGUAGGGGAGCGUUCUGUAGGCCGAUGAAGGUGCAUUGUAAAGUGUGCUGGAGGUAUCAGAAGUGCGAAUGUUGACAUGAGUAGCGAUAAAGCGGGUGAAAAGCCCGCUCGCCGAAAGCCCAAGGUUUCCUGCGCAACGUUCAUCGGCGUAGGGUGAGUCGGCCCCUAAGGCGAGGCAGAAAUGCGUAGUCGAUGGGAAACAGGUUAAUAUUCCUGUACUUGAUUCAAAUGCGAUGUGGGGACGGAGAAGGUUAGGUUGGCAAGCUGUUGGAAUAGCUUGUUUAAGCCGGUAGGUGGAAGACUUAGGCAAAUCCGGGUCUUCUUAACACCGAGAAGUGA